RNAcentral lists this ribosomal RNA (392 nucleotides) under uncultured Gammaproteobacteria bacterium. RNAcentral's name for it is "bacterial SSU rRNA". It matches the Rfam family "Bacterial small subunit ribosomal RNA", at positions 370 to 779 of the family's 1533-position model. The record is from RNAcentral. Lineage: Bacteria; Pseudomonadati; Pseudomonadota; Gammaproteobacteria.
AAUGGGCGCAAGCCUGAUGCAGCCAUGCCGCGUGUGUGAUGAAGGCCUUAGGGUUGUAAAACACUUUCAUCGGUGAAGAUAAUGACGGUAGCCGAAGAAGAAGCCCCGGCUAACUCCGUGCCAGCAGCCGCGGUAAUACGGAGGGGGCAAGCGUUGUUCGGAAUUACUGGGCGUAAAGCGCACGUAGGCGGACUGGUCAGUUGGGGGUGAAAUCCCGAGGCUUAACCUCGGAACUGCCUUCAAUACUGCCAGUCUUGAGAUCGGAAGAGGUGAGUGGAAUUCCUAGUGUAGAGGUGAAAUUCGUAGAUAUUAGGAAGAACACCGGUGGCGAAGGCGGCUCACUGGUCCGAUACUGACGCUGAGGUGCGAAAGCGUGGGGAGCGAACAGGAUU